UCUCAGGAUGAACGCUGGCGGCGUGCUUAACACAUGCAAGUCGAACGAACCUUCGGGUUAGUGGCGGACGGGUGAGUAACGCGUGAGAAUCUGCUCUCAGGAGGGGGAUAACGGCUGGAAACGGCCGCUAAUACCCCAUAUGCCGCGAGGUGAAAUGAAUUUCGCCUGAGGAUGAGCUCGCGUCUGAUUAGCUAGUUGGUGUAGGUAAUGGCUCACCAAGGCAUCGAUCAGUAGCUGGUCUGAGAGGAUGAUCAGCCACACUGGGACUGAGACACGGCCCAGACUCCUACGGGAGGCAGCAGUGGGGAAUUUUCCGCAAUGGGCGAAAGCCUGACGGAGCAACGCCGCGUGAGGGAUGAAGGCCUCUGGGCUGUAAACCUCUUUUAUCAAGGAAGAAGAUCUGACGGUACUUGAUGAAUAAGCCACGGCUAAUUCCGUG
This 439-nucleotide ribosomal RNA is filed under the name uncultured bacterium. RNAcentral describes it as "bacterial SSU rRNA". It matches the Rfam family "Bacterial small subunit ribosomal RNA", at positions 22 to 507 of the family's 1533-position model. The record is from RNAcentral.